This 931-nucleotide ribosomal RNA is filed under the name Hemiandrus focalis. Its description in RNAcentral is "SSU rRNA". It matches the Rfam family "Eukaryotic small subunit ribosomal RNA", at positions 526 to 1382 of the family's 1831-position model. The record is from RNAcentral. Lineage: Eukaryota; Metazoa; Arthropoda; Insecta; Orthoptera; Anostostomatidae.
UUUAAAUCCUUUAACGAGUAUCCAUUGGAGGGCAAGUCUGGUGCCAGCAGCCGCGGUAAUUCCAGCUCCAAUAGCGUAUAUUAAAGUUGUUGCGGUUAAAAAGCUCGUAGUUGGACUUGUGUCCCACGCUGUCGGUUCACCGCCCGUCGGUGUCUAACUGACAUGUAUCGUGGGACGUCCUGCCGGUGGUGGCGAGUCRAAAGAUCGCGCCCCCGUGGUUCUUCCAUGGGUAGGUUGCGGUUCGUARACGGACCCCGAUGAAAUCCUACCGCGGUGCUCUUAAACGAGUGUCGAGGUGGGCCGGCACGUUUACUUUGAACAAAUUAGAGUGCUUAAAGCAGGCCUGAUGCGCCUGAAUACUGUGUGCAUGGAAUAAUGGAAUAGGACCUCGGUUCUAUUUUGUUGGUUUUCGGAACCCGAGGUAAUGAUUAAUAGGGACAGUCGGGGGCAUUCGUAUUGCGACGUUAGAGGUGAAAUUCUUGGAUCGUCGCAAGACGGACCGAAGCGAAAGCAUUUGCCAAGUAUGUUUUCAUUAAUCAAGAACGAAAGUUAGAGGUUCGAAGGCGAUCAGAUACCGCCCUAGUUCUAACCAUAAACGAUGCCAGCUAGCGAUCCGCCGAAGUUCCUCCGAUGACUCGGCGGGCAGCUCCCGGGAAACCAAAGCUUUUGGGUUCCGGGGGAAGUAUGGUUGCAAAGCUGAAACUUAAAGGAAUUGACGGAAGGGCACCACCAGGAGUGGAGCCUGCGGCUUAAUUUGACUCAACACGGGAAACCUCACCAGGCCCGGACACUGGAAGGAUUGACAGAUUGAGAGCUCUUUCUUGAUUCAGUGGGUGGUGGUGCAUGGCCGUUCUUAGUUGGUGGAGCGAUUUGUCUGGUUAAUUCCGAUAACGAACGAGACUCUAGCCUGCUAAAUAGUCGCAUCCGGUAU